This 994-nucleotide ribosomal RNA is filed under the name Kocuria gwangalliensis. RNAcentral describes it as "bacterial SSU rRNA". It matches the Rfam family "Bacterial small subunit ribosomal RNA", at positions 63 to 1072 of the family's 1533-position model. Lineage: Bacteria; Bacillati; Actinomycetota; Actinomycetes; Micrococcales; Micrococcaceae. The record is from RNAcentral.
UGUAGCUUGGGUGUUUUUCAUCUGGGUGGAUGAGUGGCGAACGGGUGAGUAAUACGUGAGUAACCUGCCCUUGACUCUGGGAUAAGCCUGGGAAACUGGGUCUAAUACUGGAUACUACGUGCCCUCGCAUGGGGGUGUGUGGAAAGGGUUUUACUGGUUUUGGAUGGGCUCACGGCCUAUCAGCUUGUUGGUGGGGUAAUGGCCUACCAAGGCGACGACGGGUAGCCGGCCUGAGAGGGUGACCGGCCACACUGGGACUGAGACACGGCCCAGACUCCUACGGGAGGCAGCAGUGGGGAAUAUUGCACAAUGGGCGAAAGCCUGAUGCAGCGACGCCGCGUGAGGGAUGACGGCCUUCGGGUUGUAAACCUCUUUCAGCACGGAAGAAGCGAAAGUGACGGUACGUGCAGAAGAAGCGCCGGCUAACUACGUGCCAGCAGCCGCGGUAAUACGUAGGGCGCAAGCGUUGUCCGGAAUUAUUGGGCGUAAAGAGCUCGUAGGCGGUUUGUCGCGUCUGCUGUGAAAGCCCGGGGCUUAACCCCGUGGUGUGCAGUGGGUACGGGCAGACUAGAGUGCAGUAGGGGAGACUGGAAUUCCUGGUGUAGCGGUGAAAUGCGCAGAUAUCAGGAGGAACACCGAUGGCGAAGGCAGGUCUCUGGGCUGUUACUGACGCUGAGGAGCGAAAGCAUGGGGAGCGAACAGGAUUAGAUACCCUGGUAGUCCAUGCCGUAAACGUUGGGCACUAGGUGUGGGGGACAUUCCACGUUUUCCGCGCCGUAGCUAACGCAUUAAGUGCCCCGCCUGGGGAGUACGGCCGCAAGGCUAAAACUCAAAGGAAUUGACGGGGGCCCGCACAAGCGGCGGAGCAUGCGGAUUAAUUCGAUGCAACGCGAAGAACUUACCAGGCUUGACUACACCAGACCGGCCAGAGAUGGGUUUCUCUGUGAGGUGGUGUACAGGUGGUGCAUGGUUGUCGUCAGCUCGUGUCGUGAGA